This 499-nucleotide long non-coding RNA is filed under the name Monodelphis domestica (gray short-tailed opossum). RNAcentral describes it as "lncRNA (ENSMODG00000040629.1)". The record is from RNAcentral. Lineage: Eukaryota; Metazoa; Chordata; Mammalia; Didelphimorphia; Didelphidae.
UCCAUUGUCAUUUAGGUGAGCUGAGCCAUAAUUUUAAUUCAUCAGAAGUUAUGGCAGUCCAUGCAUUCUAGUUUUAUAACAUUAAUUGAAGACUAUUGGUGUUAAAAGGUGGUCCAGUCGGUGUUCUUUCUUUGAUCAUUAGCUUGUUGAGGCUCUGCAUUAGACUCUAUUGGAUCAAGACAUGGCCCUCUCAGGAACCUAGCUUGUGCCUAGUUUUGGCCUCAGGGCACAUGCAGCUCUGCAAGAUCAACUCCACCCUGGCUUAAUCUUAUCAAAAGGGCAGAUAAGAAGCUUUCAGAGGACAGGGAAGCUCAAGCUCCAACACCCCUCCCCCAGACUCCACUGAGAACCUGCUGACUAAACUCCAAGGGUGAAGGUUACAAUUACUACAGAACACCUUAAUAACAAGGUGGGAGGUACAGCUCCUUUUUAGCUUCUGCAGACAGCUGGGGAUGAUCUGGUGUCAGGGCUCUCACCCUCACAAAUCAGCAGAGCAAAG